This 74-nucleotide transfer RNA is filed under the name Stereum hirsutum FP-91666 SS1. RNAcentral's name for it is "tRNA-Asn (ATT) (tRNA-Asn-ATT-5-1)". It matches the Rfam family "tRNA". From Rfam's summary of the family: Transfer RNA (tRNA) molecules are approximately 80 nucleotides in length. Their secondary structure includes four short double-helical elements and three loops (D, anti-codon, and T loops). Further hydrogen bonds mediate the characteristic L-shaped molecular structure. tRNAs have two regions of fundamental functional importance: the anti-codon, which is responsible for specific mRNA codon recognition, and the 3' end, to which the tRNAs corresponding amino acid is attached (by aminoacyl-tRNA synthetases). tRNAs cope with the degeneracy of the genetic code in two manners: having more than one tRNA (with a specific anti-codon) for a particular amino acid; and 'wobble' base-pairing, i.e. permitting non-standard base-pairing at the 3rd anti-codon position. The record is from RNAcentral. Lineage: Eukaryota; Fungi; Basidiomycota; Agaricomycetes; Russulales; Stereaceae.
GGGCAUGUGGUGUAACUGGAUAACACAUUCGCUCAUUGUGCGAAAGACGUCCGGUUCGAGCCCGACCAUGCCCC